This 317-nucleotide ribosomal RNA is filed under the name uncultured beta proteobacterium. RNAcentral's name for it is "bacterial SSU rRNA". It matches the Rfam family "Bacterial small subunit ribosomal RNA", at positions 8 to 331 of the family's 1533-position model. The record is from RNAcentral. Lineage: Bacteria; Pseudomonadati; Pseudomonadota; Betaproteobacteria.
AGAGUUUGAUCCUGGCUCAGAUUGAACGCUGGCGGUAUGCUUUACACAUGCAAGUCGAACGGGCUUGGGGGCUUGCUCCCGGGUUAGUGGCGAACGGGUGAGUAAUAUAUCGGAACAUAUCCGGAAGUGGGGGAUAACGUAGCGAAAGUUACGCUAAUACCGCAUAUGCCCUGAGGGGGAAAGGGGGGGAUCGCAAGACCUCUCGCUUUCGGAGUGGCCGAUACCGGAUUAGCUAGAUGGUGAGGUAAAGGCUCACCAUGGCGACGAUCCGUAGCGGGUCUGAGAGGACGCCCACCACACUGGAACUGAGACACGUC